RNAcentral lists this non-coding RNA (117 nucleotides) under Homo sapiens (human). Lineage: Eukaryota; Metazoa; Chordata; Mammalia; Primates; Hominidae. The record is from Rfam by way of RNAcentral.
GCUGGGCAUGGUGGCUCAUGCCUGUAAUCCCAGCAUUUUGGGAGGCUGAGGUGGGUGGAUCACCUGAGGUCAGGAGUUUGAGACCAGCCUGGCCAACAUGGUGAAACUCCAUCUCUA